RNAcentral lists this ribosomal RNA (2900 nucleotides) under Klebsiella pneumoniae. RNAcentral's name for it is "bacterial LSU rRNA". It matches the Rfam family "Bacterial large subunit ribosomal RNA". Lineage: Bacteria; Pseudomonadati; Pseudomonadota; Gammaproteobacteria; Enterobacterales; Enterobacteriaceae. The record is from RNAcentral.
UUAAGCGACUAAGCGUACACGGUGGAUGCCCUGGCAGUCAGAGGCGAUGAAGGACGUGCUAAUCUGCGAAAAGCGUCGGUAAGGUGAUAUGAACCGUUAUAGCCGGCGAUGUCCGAAUGGGGAAACCCAGUGCAAUUCGUUGCACUAUCGUUAACUGAAUACAUAGGUUAACGAGGCGAACCGGGGGAACUGAAACAUCUAAGUACCCCGAGGAAAAGAAAUCAACCGAGAUUCCCCCAGUAGCGGCGAGCGAACGGGGAGCAGCCCAGAGUCUGAAUCAGCUUGUGUGUUAGUGGAACGGUCUGGAAAGUCCGACGGUACAGGGUGAUAGUCCCGUACACCAAAAUGCACAGGCUGUGAACUCGAAGAGUAGGGCGGGACACGUGGUAUCCUGUCUGAAUAUGGGGGGACCAUCCUCCAAGGCUAAAUACUCCUGACUGACCGAUAGUGAACCAGUACCGUGAGGGAAAGGCGAAAAGAACCCCGGCGAGGGGAGUGAAAAAGAACCUGAAACCGUGUACGUACAAGCAGUGGGAGCACCUUCGGGUGUGACUGCGUACCUUUUGUAUAAUGGGUCAGCGACUUAUAUUCUGUAGCAAGGUUAACCGUAUAGGGGAGCCGCAGGGAAACCGAGUCUUAACUGGGCGUUAAGUUGCAGGGUAUAGACCCGAAACCCGGUGAUCUAGCCAUGGGCAGGUUGAAGGUUGGGUAACACUAACUGGAGGACCGAACCGACUAAUGUUGAAAAAUUAGCGGAUGACUUGUGGCUGGGGGUGAAAGGCCAAUCAAACCGGGAGAUAGCUGGUUCUCCCCGAAAGCUAUUUAGGUAGCGCCUCGUGAAUUCAUCUUCGGGGGUAGAGCACUGUUUCGGCUAGGGGGUCAUCCCGACUUACCAACCCGAUGCAAACUACGAAUACCGAAGAAUGUUAUCACGGGAGACACACGGCGGGUGCUAACGUCCGUCGUGAAGAGGGAAACAACCCAGACCGCCAGCUAAGGUCCCAAAGUCAUGGUUAAGUGGGAAACGAUGUGGGAAGGCACAGACAGCCAGGAUGUUGGCUUAGAAGCAGCCAUCAUUUAAAGAAAGCGUAAUAGCUCACUGGUCGAGUCGGCCUGCGCGGAAGAUGUAACGGGGCUAAACCAUGCACCGAAGCUGCGGCAGCGACACUAUGUGUUGUUGGGUAGGGGAGCGUUCUGUAAGCCUGCGAAGGUGACCUGUGAGGGUUGCUGGAGGUAUCAGAAGUGCGAAUGCUGACAUAAGUAACGAUAAAGCGGGUGAAAAGCCCGCUCGCCGGAAGACCAAGGGUUCCUGUCCAACGUUAAUCGGGGCAGGGUGAGUCGACCCCUAAGGCGAGGCCGAAAGGCGUAGUCGAUGGGAAACAGGUUAAUAUUCCUGUACUUGGUGUUACUGCGAAGGGGGGACGGAGAAGGCUAUGUUAGCCGGGCGACGGUUGUCCCGGUUUAAGCAUGUAGGCUGAUUGUCCAGGCAAAUCCGGAUAAUCAAGGCUGAGGUGUGAUGACGAGGCACUACGGUGCUGAAGUAACAAAUGCCCUGCUUCCAGGAAAAGCCUCUAAGCAUCAGGUAACAUUAAAUCGUACCCCAAACCGACACAGGUGGUCAGGUAGAGAAUACCAAGGCGCUUGAGAGAACUCGGGUGAAGGAACUAGGCAAAAUGGUGCCGUAACUUCGGGAGAAGGCACGCUGGUGUGUAGGUGAAGUCCCUGCGGAUGGAGCUGAGACCAGUCGAAGAUACCAGCUGGCUGCAACUGUUUAUUAAAAACACAGCACUGUGCAAACACGAAAGUGGACGUAUACGGUGUGACGCCUGCCCGGUGCCGGAAGGUUAAUUGAUGGGGUUAUCCGUAAGGAGAAGCUCUUGAUCGAAGCCCCGGUAAACGGCGGCCGUAACUAUAACGGUCCUAAGGUAGCGAAAUUCCUUGUCGGGUAAGUUCCGACCUGCACGAAUGGCGUAAUGAUGGCCAGGCUGUCUCCACCCGAGACUCAGUGAAAUUGAACUCGCUGUGAAGAUGCAGUGUACCCGCGGCAAGACGGAAAGACCCCGUGAACCUUUACUAUAGCUUGACACUGAACAUUGAGCCUUGAUGUGUAGGAUAGGUGGGAGGCUUUGAAGCGUGGACGCCAGUCUGCGUGGAGCCAACCUUGAAAUACCACCCUUUAAUGUUUGAUGUUCUAACGUUGGCCCCUGACCGGGGUUGCGGACAGUGUCUGGUGGGUAGUUUGACUGGGGCGGUCUCCUCCCAAAGCGUAACGGAGGAGCACGAAGGUUAGCUAAUCCUGGUCGGACAUCAGGAGGUUAGUGCAAUGGCAUAAGCUAGCUUGACUGCGAGCGUGACGGCGCGAGCAGGUGCGAAAGCAGGUCAUAGUGAUCCGGUGGUUCUGAAUGGAAGGGCCAUCGCUCAACGGAUAAAAGGUACUCCGGGGAUAACAGGCUGAUACCGCCCAAGAGUUCAUAUCGACGGCGGUGUUUGGCACCUCGAUGUCGGCUCAUCACAUCCUGGGGCUGAAGUAGGUCCCAAGGGUAUGGCUGUUCGCCAUUUAAAGUGGUACGCGAGCUGGGUUUAGAACGUCGUGAGACAGUUCGGUCCCUAUCUGCCGUGGGCGCUGGAGAAUUGAGGGGGGCUGCUCCUAGUACGAGAGGACCGGAGUGGACGCAUCACUGGUGUUCGGGUUGUCAUGCCAAUGGCACUGCCCGGUAGCUAAAUGCGGAAGAGAUAAGUGCUGAAAGCAUCUAAGCACGAAACUUGCCCCGAGAUGAGUUCUCCCUGAGACUUUAAGUCUCCUGAAGGAACGUUAAAGACGAUGACGUUGAUAGGCCGGGUGUGUAAGCGCAGCGAUGCGUUGAGCUAACCGGUACUAAUGAACCGUGAGGCUUAACCUU